CAGUCGCCGCGGGAAUACGGAGGGUGCAAGCGUUAAUCGGAAUUACUGGGCGUAAAGCGCACGCAGGCGGUUUGUUAAGUCAGAUGUGAAAUCCCCGAGCUUAACUUGGGAACUGCAUUUGAAACUGGCAAGCUAGAGUCUUGUAGAGGGGGGUAGAAUUCCAGGUGUAGCGGUGAAAUGCGUAGCGAUCUGGAGGAAUACCGGUGGCGAAGGCGGCCCCCUGGACAAAGACUGACGCUCAGGUGCGAAAGCGUGGGGAGCAAACAGGAUUAGAUACCCCUGUAGUCCCUGUCUCUUAUAC
Molecule: ribosomal RNA, 301 nt
Filed under: uncultured bacterium
Lineage: Bacteria
Description: partial 16S ribosomal RNA
Rfam family: Bacterial small subunit ribosomal RNA
Source: RNAcentral